Molecule: unclassified non-coding RNA, 24 nt
Filed under: synthetic construct
Source: RNAcentral
GGUUGCUGAAGCGCGCACGGCAAC